This 429-nucleotide ribosomal RNA is filed under the name Bacteroidota bacterium. RNAcentral's name for it is "Bacteroidetes bacterium partial 16S ribosomal RNA". It matches the Rfam family "Bacterial small subunit ribosomal RNA", at positions 355 to 776 of the family's 1533-position model. Lineage: Bacteria; Pseudomonadati; Bacteroidota. The record is from RNAcentral.
UAGGGAAUCUUCCGCAAUGGACGCAAGUCUGACGGAGCAACGCCGCGUGAGUGAAGAAGGAUUUCGGUUCGUAAAACUCUGUUGUUAAGGAAGAACGAGUGUGAGAAUGGAAAGUUCAUACUGUGACGGUACUUAACCAGAAAGGGACGGCUAACUACGUGCCAGCAGCCGCGGUAAUACGUAGGUUCCGAGCGUUGUCCGGAUUUAUUGGGCGUAAAGCGAGCGCAGGCGGUUAGAUAAGUCUGAAGUUAAAGGCAGUGGCUCAACCAUUGUAGGCUUUGGAAACUGUUUAACUUGAGUGCAGAAGGGGAGAGUGGAAUUCCAUGUGUAGCGGUGAAAUGCGUAGAUAUAUGGAGGAACACCAGUGGCGAAGGCGACUCUCUGGUCUGUAACUGACGCUGAGGUUCGAAAGCGUGGGUAGCAAACAGG